GCUUAGAUGUUGAAGGAGACAUGUAGAUGAUCGGGUUUGAAGAUCACAUCGGUAGCUGCAGCUCUGUUUAUGUUGAUGGUAUAUGAGUCUAUAAACUGCUGCUUCUCAAUGGGAGGAGGUUGAGCUUGGUAAAGACGUUAGCUGCUCUAGGGUAUUUGCGCCUUUCCCUCUCUGUUUGAAGGCUGACUCAUGGCUAAAAGAAAUUGAAAGGCUUGUGAGUAAAACCACAUCACUCUCCUAGCUUUAUCGUGGUGUUAUUUGA
RNAcentral lists this unclassified non-coding RNA (262 nucleotides) under Hevea brasiliensis (rubber tree). The record is from RNAcentral. Lineage: Eukaryota; Viridiplantae; Streptophyta; Magnoliopsida; Malpighiales; Euphorbiaceae.